AUGAAGACCUCCUAAACACGUGAUUUUGAAGUGCGGAAGUAAAGUUGUGAUUUCGAAGAAAUCUACGGGAAAACGUGAGUGAAUAUUUGUUUCUCACGGGUUGGAAAAUUGCUAACCUAAAGAAUCCAUUAUGGAUGACGACGAGGAGACCUACAGACUAGGGAAAAUCUGUAAAACAAUCAUGCAGUCGCUGGUGGACAUGGCACCCAAAUACGUCCUGGAGCAGUUUCUACAACAGGAGCUCCUCAUUAACAUCACAGUGCAUGAGAUAUGUGCGCUAGUUUAGAGUUGCAGUUGCAGAACAAAUCUAUUGGUACACUUGCACCUUUCUUAAGUAAUUCCCUAUUUCUUCCCCCAAAAAAUUGAUGAAAUUGAAUAAAACUUUUGGUCUCCA
Molecule: long non-coding RNA, 394 nt
Organism: Coregonus clupeaformis (lake whitefish)
Lineage: Eukaryota; Metazoa; Chordata; Actinopteri; Salmoniformes; Salmonidae
Exons: 2
Source: RefSeq, a predicted model, not a curated record